CCCUUAGAUGUUCUGGGCCGCACGCGCGCUACAAUGAUGAAUUCAACGAGUUUAUAACCUUGGUUGAAAAGCCUGGGUAAUCUUUUGAACUUUCGUCGUGAUGGGGCUAGACCCUUGCAAUUAUUGGUCUCCAACGAGGAAUUCCUAGUAAACGCAAGUCAUCAGCUUGCAUUGAUUACGUCCCUGCCCUUUGUACACACCGCCCGUCGCACCUACCGAUUGAAUGGUCCGGUGAAUAAUUCGGACCGAUGCAGUGCUCAGCUUCUGAACUUUGCAUUGGAAAGUUUAGUGAACCUUAUCACUUAGAGGAAGGAGAAGUCGUAACA
Molecule: ribosomal RNA, 326 nt
Filed under: uncultured eukaryote
Lineage: Eukaryota
Description: partial 18S ribosomal RNA
Rfam family: Eukaryotic small subunit ribosomal RNA
Source: RNAcentral